UCAUAUGCUUGUCUUAAAGAUUAAGCCAUGCAUGCCUCUGUACAAACUGCAAUAAAGUGAAACCACGAAUGGCUCAUUAAAUCAGUUACUAUCCAUUGGAUAUUCACUAUCUACAUGGAUAACUGUGGUAAUUCCAGAGCUAAUACAUGCAACAUGCCUUGACCUCACGGAAUAGGUGCAUUUUAUUAGACCAAGAUCAAUGGGACUCUUCGGGGUUCCUUGUGAUGGUGACUCUGGAUAACUACGCUGAUCGCAUGGCCUCUGUGCCGGCGAUGAGUCCUCUGAGUAACUGCCUUAUCAACUAGAUGGUAGGUUAGACGCCUACCAUGGUUGUAACGGGUAACGGGGAAUCAGGGUUCGAUUCCGGAGAGGGAGCCUGAGAAACGGCUACCACAUCCAAGGAAGGCAGCAGGCACGCAAAUUACCCACUCUCAGCACGAGGAGGUAGUGACGAAAAAUACCGGUACGGGACUCUUAGGAGGCCCCGUAAUCGGAAUGAGUACGAUCUAAAUCCUCUAACGAGGAUCUAUUGGAGGGCAAGUCUGGUGCCAGCAGCCGCGGUAAUUCCAGCUCCAAUAGCGUAUAUUAAAGUUGUUGCGGUUAAAAAGCUCGUAGUUGGAUCUCGACUCAUGUUAGGUGGUCCACCUCACGGUGGUUACUGCUUGACUGAGUUACCUACGGAUUUGUCUCUUGAUUCUCUUAACCGAGUGUCUUGAGCGAUCCGUUCGUUUACUUUGAACAAAUUAGAGUGCUUAAAGCAGGCAUCUCGCCCGAAUAAUCUUGCAUGGAAUAAUAGAAUAGGACUUUGGUUCUAUUCUGUUGGUCUUCGGAUCCAAAGUAAUGAUUAAGAGGGACAGACGGGGGCAUUAGUAUUGCGGCGCUAGAGGUGAAAUUCUUGGACCGUCGCAAGACUAACAACAGCGAAAGCAUUUGCCAAGAAUGUUUUCAUUAAUCAAGAACGAAAGUUAGAGGUUCGAAGGCGAUCAGAUACCGCCCUAGUUCUAACCAUAAACGAUGCUAACCAGCGAUCAGCCUGAGUACUUUUAAGGACUCGGCUGGGAACUUCUCGGGAAACCAAAGUUUUUGGGUUCCGGGGGAAGUAUGGUUGCAAAACUGAAACUUAAAGGAAUUGACGGAAGGGCACCACCAGGAGUGGAGCCUGCGGCUUAAUUUGACUCAACACGGGAAAACUCACCCGGCCCGGACACUAUGAGGAUUGACAGAUUGAGAGCUCUUUCUUGAUAUAGUGGGUGGUGGUGCAUGGCCGUUCUUAGUUGGUGGAUCGAUUUGUCUGGUUAAUUCCGAUAACGAACGAGACUCCAACCUAUUAAAUAGGACUUCAUCUCCUUCGGGCGAUGAUGAACUUCUUAAAGGGACAGGCGGCGAUUCAGCCGCACGAGAAAGAGCAAUAACAGGUCUGUGAUGCCCUUAGAUGUCCGGGGCCGCACGCGCGCUACACUGAAGUGUUCAGCGUGCAUGCGUUUCCUACUCCGAAAGGAGUGGGAAACCCUGGGAAUUCACUUCGUACUUGGGAUAGGGCAUUGUAACUAUACCCUUGAACGAGGAAUUCCCAGUAAGCGUGAGUCAUUACCUAGCGUUGAUUACGUCCCUGCCCUUUGUACACACCGCCCGUCGCUACUACCGAUUGAAUGAUUUAGUGAGGUCUUCGGAUUGGAUAGUGCAGUUUUCUCUGAAAGCAGCAUCUAUUUGAGAAGAUGACCAAACUUGAUCAUUUAGAGGAAGUAAAAGUCGUAACAAGGUUUCC
Molecule: ribosomal RNA, 1765 nt
Filed under: Teutonia sp. JA-2011
Lineage: Eukaryota; Metazoa; Arthropoda; Arachnida; Trombidiformes; Teutoniidae
Description: SSU rRNA
Rfam family: Eukaryotic small subunit ribosomal RNA
Source: RNAcentral